Molecule: ribosomal RNA, 254 nt
Filed under: uncultured bacterium
Lineage: Bacteria
Description: partial 16S ribosomal RNA
Rfam family: Bacterial small subunit ribosomal RNA
Source: RNAcentral
GACGAACCGUGGGAACGUUAUUCGGAAUCACUGGGCUUAAAGCGCGUGUAGGCGGGUCGGCGCGUCGGACGCUGAAAUCCCCCGGCUCAACCGGGGAAGGGGCGCCGAUACGGCCGGCCUGGAGGGACGUAGGGGGGGCUGGAACUUCCGGUGGAGCGGUGAAAUGCGUUGAGAUCGGAAGGAACGCCCGUGGCGAAAGCGAGCCCCUGGACGUCUACUGACGCUGAGACGCGAAAGCCAGGGGAGCGAACGGG